AAACAAAGAAAAAAAAGAAGAAGAAAACAAAGAAAAAAAAAACAGGUUAUUACAUGAACAAUAUGUGUUUGAUAAGAAUUUAAGCAAAUCGUGCCAAAAUAUUAAGAAAGAUUGUAAAGUUUGUUUCAACAAAUCUCACACACUUGAUAAUAAAUUUGAAAAGUCUAAAAAACGUAAUUUUGAUAUAAUAAAAAAAAAUUUGUUAAUAGAACGAAAAAUAAAAGAACUAGAAGAAAAAAAAACAAAAAAUUUGGAACAAGAUCAUGAUUAUUACUCUGAUGAAGAUAAUAUAAAAUUGGUAUAUACAGCUAAAAAUUACAUUGAAAAUAUAUUUGAUUUAACAAAUAAAAGACACCGAAGUAAUUCAAUAAAUAAUUAUAAAAAAAACGUAAGUGAUGGUCUUAACAGUUUAAAUGAUAGUACUUUUAUGCGAAAAAUGCGAAACUCGAGUAAUUUAAAUAAUGCCUACAAUUCGCAUAAUUCGUACUAUACGUACAAUGUUGAUAAUUUAGAAAACGUAACAAACUUCAAUUUUUUAAAAAAUAAAUAUAGUAUGAACGGAAAAUUAAAAAGUGGUAAAUACGAUGGCACUAGUAAUGACUACAAUAGUAGUAGUAGUAGUAAAAAAUGUAGCUUUAGCAAAUAUUGCGACAGCAGUAGAGACUACAGCAAAAUAAACUACAAUAGUAUAAACUACAGCAGCAUAAACUACAGUACUAGUGAUGAAUAUACUACCAACAUUGUAUAUACUGGGAGUACUGACUACACUAAUAGUAAAGACUACAACAUCAAGAAAAAGGACAGUACUACUAAAACUGAAUUUUCUCUUGAUUUUAUUAAUUAUGUAAAAAAAAAUCAAAAUUUGUUUCAUUGCAAUUUAUGCAAACUAAAAGGCACAAUACAUCCAUCAGUAUCAUUAUAUAAUAUAAGUGUUUUUUUAAAAAAAACUAAAAGUUAUUUUUUAGAGAUCAUUAAUAAAUUAAGUGAUAAAAUAACUAUCAUAAACGAUAUAGAAAAAUUUUUAAUAUUUAAAAAUGAAAAAACAGAAGAAGUAUUUUUAUGUACUUUUUAUUCUUCUUACCCUUAUAAAACUAUAGCAUAUUCUGUUUUAAUGAUUUUAUUAUCAAUUAUGUAUUUUUUUAUUUUAUAUUAUGUAGUGUUAAACAACUAUUAUAUAUUAUAUAAAGAUAAUCAUUUAUUUUUUUUAAGUAUAUUUAAAUUAUUUGCAAUUGUUUCUUAUUUUUUAUAUUUUAUUAUAUAUAUUACAUUUUUUAGUAAAAGAUAUAUGGAUAAAAUAGGCAUAAGUUUUUAUAGAUCUUUAUAUUUCAUUACACCCUUUGUAUUAUUAUA
This 1350-nucleotide long non-coding RNA is filed under the name Piliocolobus tephrosceles (Ugandan red Colobus). RNAcentral describes it as "lncRNA (ENSPTEG00000000958.1)". The record is from RNAcentral. Lineage: Eukaryota; Metazoa; Chordata; Mammalia; Primates; Cercopithecidae.